GAAAAGACAUCAACCGAGAUUCCGUUAGUAGUGGCGAGCGAACGCGGACCAGGCCAGUGCCUGAUAUUCAACUAGCAGAAGCUUCUGGAAAGUAGCGCCAUAGUGGGUGACAGCCCCGUAUGCGAAAGUGAUGUAUCAGGACUCGAGUAGGGCGGGACACGUGUAAUCCUGUCUGAACAUGGGGGGACCACCCUCCAAGCCUAAAUACUCGUACAUGACCGAUAGCGAACUAGUACCGUGAGGGAAAG
Molecule: ribosomal RNA, 248 nt
Filed under: Nostoc sp. 3335mG
Lineage: Bacteria; Bacillati; Cyanobacteriota; Cyanophyceae; Nostocales; Nostocaceae
Description: partial 23S ribosomal RNA
Rfam family: Bacterial large subunit ribosomal RNA
Source: RNAcentral